UACGGGGGGGGCAAGCGUUGUUCGGAAUUACUGGGCGUAAAGGGCGCGUAGGCGGCCUUCUAAGUCGGACGUGAAAUCCCUCGGCUUAACCGAGGAACUGCGUCCGAUACUGAAAGGCUUGAAUCCGGGAGAGGGAUGUGGAAUUCCAGGUGUAGCGGUGAAAUGCGUAGAUAUCUGGAGGAACACCGGUGGCGAAGGCGGCAUCCUGGACCGGUAUUGACGCUGAGGCGCGACAGCGUGGGGAGCGAACGGG
Molecule: ribosomal RNA, 253 nt
Filed under: uncultured bacterium
Lineage: Bacteria
Description: partial 16S ribosomal RNA
Rfam family: Bacterial small subunit ribosomal RNA
Source: RNAcentral